This 332-nucleotide ribosomal RNA is filed under the name uncultured bacterium. Its description in RNAcentral is "bacterial SSU rRNA". It matches the Rfam family "Bacterial small subunit ribosomal RNA", at positions 568 to 898 of the family's 1533-position model. The record is from RNAcentral.
CGUGUAGGCGGUCUGAUUAGUCUGAUGUGAAAGCCCUGGGCUCAACCCAGGAAGUGCAUUGGAUACUGUCGGACUUGAAUACGGGAGAGGGUAGUGGAAUUCCUAGUGUAGGAGUGAAAUCCGUAGAUAUUAGGAGGAACACCGGUGGCGAAGGCGGCUACCUGGACCGAUAUUGACGCUGAGACGCGAAAGCGUGGGUAGCAAACAGGAUUAGAUACCCUGGUAGUCCACGCCGUAAACGAUGAGUACUAGGUGUUGCGGGUAUUGACCCCUGCAGUGCCGCAGCUAACGCAUUAAGUACUCCGCCUGGGAAGUACGGUCGCAAGGUUGAA